Molecule: long non-coding RNA, 212 nt
Filed under: Lathyrus oleraceus (garden pea)
Lineage: Eukaryota; Viridiplantae; Streptophyta; Magnoliopsida; Fabales; Fabaceae
Description: Pisum sativum (pea) long non-coding RNA (PSAT_LNC031035)
Source: RNAcentral
UCACCUCAAGCUCCCUUUGUUUCAUCACGAGCCCUUCAAUGGUUAACUUAGCAUGGGAGCCUUUGGGCAUUACAUUAAGGGAAAAUCCAAUGUCCACCAAUACUCUUGAUAGAACUGUGCCUACGCACUAAAUAUAAAUAUGGAUAGCCUUGUUGUGAUUUUGUCCCUCAGCAGGGAUCUCCUCGUCACUAAUACCCAAGCUUAGACUAGUG